CACCCUUAAACUAGCCCCCCAACUAAAAACAAAACACAACCAUUAAUAAACCCUAAAACAUUAAAACCACCAACUAAAACAUUCUACAACCCUAGUACGGGAGACAAAAAAG
RNAcentral lists this ribosomal RNA (112 nucleotides) under Trachyrhamphus longirostris (straightstick pipefish). RNAcentral's name for it is "partial 16S ribosomal RNA". The record is from RNAcentral. Lineage: Eukaryota; Metazoa; Chordata; Actinopteri; Syngnathiformes; Syngnathidae.